Molecule: ribosomal RNA, 492 nt
Filed under: uncultured bacterium
Lineage: Bacteria
Description: partial 16S ribosomal RNA
Rfam family: Bacterial small subunit ribosomal RNA
Source: RNAcentral
AGUGAACGCUGGCGGUAGGCCUAACACAUGCAAGUCGAACGGCAGCACAGUAAGAGCUUGCUCUUACGGGUGGCGAGUGGCGGACGGGUGAGGAAUACAUCGGAAUCUACUUUUUCGUGGGGGAUAACGUAGGGAAACUUACGCUAAUACCGCAUACGCCCUACGGGUGAAAGCAGUGGAUCUUCUGACCUUGCGCGAUUGAAUGAGCCGAUGUCGGAUUAGCUAGUUGGCGGGGUAAAGGCCCACCAAGGCGACGAUCCGUAGCUGGUCGGAGAGGAUGAUCAGCAAGACUGGAACAGAGACACGGAACAGAAUACUACGGGAGGGAGCAGUGGGGAAGAAUGGACAAUGGGAGAAAGCAUGAAACAGGCAUACCGCGUGGGUGAAGAAGGGGUUCGGGUUGUAAAGCCCUUUUGUUGGGAAAGAAAAGAAGCAGGUUAAUACGACGCUGUUCUGACGGUAGCCAAAGAAUAAGCACCGGCUAACUUCGUG